This is a long non-coding RNA of Sitodiplosis mosellana (orange wheat blossom midge), 170 nucleotides long. RefSeq lists it as uncharacterized. The record is from RefSeq and is a predicted model, not a curated record. The transcript has 3 exons. Lineage: Eukaryota; Metazoa; Arthropoda; Insecta; Diptera; Cecidomyiidae.
AAUACACUUAGCAGUGAUUAUUGGCUACCUUUUUCAUGGGACUCACAACUGUCAAAUUGUGAUCAAACAAAUUGUGUUUUAUUUGAAUGAAAUGAAUAUCAACUUUGACAAUGAGUCUGCUUUCAAACAGAUUGAAGAAAUGAUGUUGUAUUUAACAAACAAUCCGCUCA